AUUGAACGCUGGCGGCAGGCCUAACACAUGCAAGUCGAACGGUAACAGGAAACAGCUUGCUGUUUCGCUGACGAGUGGCGGACGGGUGAGUAAUGUCUGGGAAACUGCCUGAUGGAGGGGGAUAACUACUGGAAACGGUAGCUAAUACCGCAUAACGUCGCAAGACCAAAGAGGGGGACCUUCGGGCCUCUUGCCAUCGGAUGUGCCCAGAUGGGAUUAGCUAGUAGGUGGGGUAACGGCUCACCUAGGCGACGAUCCCUAGCUGGUCUGAGAGGAUGACCAGCCACACUGGAACUGAGACACGGUCCAGACUCCUACGGGAGGCAGCAGUGGGGAAUAUUGCACAAUGGGCGCAAGCCUGAUGCAGCCAUGCCGCGUGUAUGAAGAAGGCCUUCGGGUUGUAAAGUACUUUCAGCGGGGAGGAAGGGAGUAAAGUUAAUACCUUUACUCAUUGACGUUACCCGCAGAAGAAGCACCGGCUAACUACGUG
Molecule: ribosomal RNA, 490 nt
Filed under: uncultured bacterium
Lineage: Bacteria
Description: partial 16S ribosomal RNA
Rfam family: Bacterial small subunit ribosomal RNA
Source: RNAcentral